GACGAACGCUGGCGGCGUGCUUAACACAUGCAAGUCGAACGGAAAGGCCCUGCUUUUGUGGGGUGCUCGAGUGGCGAACGGGUGAGUAACACGUGAGUAACCUGCCCUUGACUUUGGGAUAACUUCAGGUAACUGGGGCUAAUACCGGAUAGGAGCUCCUGCUGCAUGGUGGGGGUUGGAAAGUUUCGGCGGUUGGGGAUGGACUCGCGGCUUAUCAGCUUGUUGGUGGGGUAGUGGCUUACCAAGGCUUUGACGGGUAGCCGGCCUGAGAGGGUGACCGGCCACACUGGGACUGCAAUAGCGCCCUAACUCCUACGGGAGGCAGCAGUGGGGAAUAGUGCACAAUGGGCGGAAGCCUGAUGCAGCAACGCCGCGUGCGGGAUGACGGCCUUCGGGUUGUAGACCGCUUUCGCCUGUGACGAAGCGUGAGUGACGGUAAUGGGUAAAGAAGCACCGGCUAACUACGUG
This 468-nucleotide ribosomal RNA is filed under the name uncultured bacterium. RNAcentral's name for it is "partial 16S ribosomal RNA". It matches the Rfam family "Bacterial small subunit ribosomal RNA", at positions 28 to 507 of the family's 1533-position model. The record is from RNAcentral.